This is a long non-coding RNA of Aphis gossypii (cotton aphid), 2312 nucleotides long. RefSeq lists it as uncharacterized. The record is from RefSeq and is a predicted model, not a curated record. Lineage: Eukaryota; Metazoa; Arthropoda; Insecta; Hemiptera; Aphididae. The transcript has 3 exons.
CCGCCAACCACGACGCGAUAUGGCGCUGUUGUUAUUGUUGAUAUUGUUGUUAUUGUUGUUGCCAAUACUUGAGUCCAGAGGCGAUCCGGCUUGUGGUUGACUUGCAGGUUGUCCUGUUUGGGGUCUACAAUUUCCAUCUGCGACACCAAAUCCCGUGAAGUCUGCAAUAAAAUCUCACAUACCUGCCUAACAUUUGAGCGAAGUGUGUGUGACAUGAAACUACUAUCUCUGAUGCAGGAUUGGACACGGUGACACUACGACAGGAUUACAGGAGCAGGAUCCGCCAGGACUUGACCCCGUCGUCGUCACCAGGGCAUUCUGUAAUUUCUGGCACGGUCAUUUGUCAUUGGAGUUUUCCGGUUGAACGUCAUCAAUCAUGGUCUUUAACAUUGUGUGCGGCGUGCCAUCCGUCCGCCCGUUCGUUUUAGGACGCACGCGCGCACGAUAAUGCGACGACAUGCUGUCAUUAUGCGCGUGUGUCUCUGUGUGUACCUACUACGGUCACAAUGACGACACGCCACUAACUGGCGGAGCAAGAAUAGAGGCGACGGCGGUGGUCCCUUGUGUUUUCACACGCGUUUUCGUUCACACGUAUCCCAUUACUACGGUCUUAUAUACAUAUUUAUACCUGGUAUAUACCUGGUUAAGGGUUAUGCUGUGGACGCGAGCCGCACGUGACCGGCUGUGCGGGGUCGAUAUUAUUCAAAUCGUUCUACCACGACGCGUGGGCGUUCGGCAAUCUGGACUGCUAAACGAUUUCUAUAUGAUAAAAAUAAGUAUAAUAAUAUCAUGAUAGGUGUGUAACGACUGCCGUCAUUUGCAGUGAUGGCUGCAAAACCACCGGCGGUUACUAAAACCGUUCGAACACAGCACUACAUUCGAUGUGUGCUCAUGUGUGUUUUCAAUGGGUCACAUAUGUCCCUCCUGAUACUAGACAGUUAAUAAUCAUUAAACGUGCAAGCCAUUCUUAAACAGAUGAAUCACUAAAUGUGCCUGUGAGGAAUUCAAGAAAUUUAUGAAGGUAACAAAGAAAAUUGAGUUGUCAAAAAUAGAUAUUGAGCUGUCUGAAUUUCUCUUUGACCAAAUAUAAGAUAGGUACUAUGUAAUAAUGGGAUUUUAAAGUAGAUGCGAUGGAGAGGUUUACUUUCAUAAUAAAUGGUAAAAUCCGAAAAAAUAAUCUAAAUAUUUCAGUGGAACAAUUGUGUAACUAUGGCAUCAGUAGUAGUUCUUCACUUUUAAGCUAUAUAAGAUUAAUAAAUUUUUUUUUUUUAAUCUUGAAAUUUAAUAAUGAAAAAAACAUUAUACACUAAACAUUCUCCGUGGCGUCCCCAGUCGGUUUAUUUUUGCUCUUGUUCUCCCAUGUAUUUCAUACAAUACUAUUUAUCUUUGCUUUUAUCGGUUUGCUGAUAAAAUAUUCACAGGAUUCCCGUUACUGUGGUGGUAGUGUAAUGCAUAUCUAAUGGGAAAUUUACCGGUAGGAUUUCAAUUCACAAGAAUAGAGGAGGCCGUACGGAACAAAUAUGAAGGUGGUGGUUGUUUUGCAAUAACAGUUACAGAAAUUGGAAGAACCGGCGGAACGGGAAAGUUAUUAUACGUAUACCUUAGCCAACGGUUGUAUUGUACUGCUCUUCCGGUGUAAGCUAUGAUAUAAAUUAUUGCUAAGAGCGGACAACGGCAAUAUCGUUUUCAAAACUAUCGGUACCUAACCAAAACAUGGAUACAUAUAUGUAGCAUCGGUAUACACCUACAACCGCUGUAUCAACUUUGCUAUCCAGUAGUUACGUUGAAAUAUUUUUCAACCAACAUUAUCUGUUUCAAGGUAAUUUAGUUAAUAAGACCGUAUAAUAUUAUGUAUCCUGUAUACACAAUAAUAUGUAAAUCAAUUUUAUUAUAUUGUCGUGCAACGAAAUAAUUAAAAUAAUUAUUUAAUCUUAAAUGUGAUUGUUUCUGUAAAAUUAAAACAAAUAACCCGAGUAAUAUGCGACUCGUAAGGGCGAGCUUUUAGUUUCAUGUUAAAUAUUUAUGUGUAAAUUAAACUUUUAAAACCGGAUAUUGUUUACAUGCAUGCAAUUCAGCCGUUUUCCUUGAGGAUUUGAGAAGUAUAAUUCAAUGAAUCAAAAAAAUUGAAAUAAUAAUUUUAUUACAAAGAAAUGUAUGUAUUAUUUUGAACCACAAAUAUGAUAAAUUAUGUACUUUGAAAUAGCUUCAGGGAAAUUGUAAUCAAAUUAAAUAAGUCACUGAUAUUUAUUCUAGAAUAUUAUGCGUGUUAAAUAUUAUUUGAUAUAUUAUUAUACAUCAAACAGUUGUAUAGG